Dermatophagoides pteronyssinus (European house dust mite) is the source of this 317-nucleotide long non-coding RNA. The record is from RefSeq and is a predicted model, not a curated record. Lineage: Eukaryota; Metazoa; Arthropoda; Arachnida; Sarcoptiformes; Pyroglyphidae.
UUUGAUUGAUUUUAUCAUUUGAUACUUUAUCCAUCAUCAAAUUACAUCAAGAAACUACCACCACUAUUGAGUGAUAGGAAACAAAAAAAUAUCGUAUACGAACAACUAUAGUGAAUCCAACUAAUUCAUUCAUUCAUUCAUUCCGACAACAAACUAUCAACAAAGUUUUGAAUUGGUUGAUUGAUUGUGUAUAUUCUUACCAAGUCUUUUUUUUCUUCUUUCUCUCUUCCUCACUAAUAUCUCUCUGUAUCUUUUGCGUUUGUAUUAGUGUAUACUUCAGGAGUGUUCAACAAGUGAGCAAAAAAAAAGAAAAAAAA